AAUGACAAUCAGGAAUUUUCUAGGACGAGAGACGGUUGUCCAACGACAAUAGGAAACAUGGUUACCAGCAAUUUCUAGAAUUAACCAACAUCUAGGGGUGGAAACGCAGUUGAAAAUAGGCCAGUAGACCGCGGGCAGAUGCUCUCGCCGAAGCUAUUUCUCCGUGCACGCAGGUGUUUCUACGACUGUCGUCCAACUUCCACCCUUCCAUCGGACAUGGACGCAUCCCCCUGCGUCGACUUUGUGAUUCCACCCCUGCUAGAUGCUAUAAUUUCUCUCGCGUAUCGGUUGAAAGGGGAGGCCGCGAGAUUAGAAUUGAAUUUGGACACUGGAAUUGGUUCUGGAACGUUCGUCAACGUUCAUUUUAUUGAUAAAAUAGUCAGUCUUUGAAAACCAAUUGUUCUGAAAAAUUUCUGAUAAAUUUUCCGAUUACAGAUUCGAAGAGGAAAGUGUUUGAUUUUAUUGUAGACAAGAAGAAGAAAAAAUAGGGAAUUUUUAUUUCUACCAAACCGUAGAACGAUGAAGAAUAAUAUUGCACGUUCUGUUCUCUGUGGAAAGAAUAGAGGAAGCGGGAUUCGCGAGAAGAAUUCUUUGACGGUGGACCAAUAGCCACCCCACGCAGAUGGUCUCCCCCGUAAAAAGCGGCUCUACCAUCGUGCUCCAACCGAGAUAUCGAUCCAAGUUCCUAUCUCACCCUCGAUCGAACCGCGUUCCGAAAAUUUCUUUCAUAGCGCGUAUAUCCUCCCUUCUAAUUACUAUUCUCCAGAAUUAUUAACGGAUUAAUGGUGGUGAUCGGGGCUUCCUUCCGCGACAAGUGGAGACAAGUCGUCGUGGAGGCGGCUCCAUUUGUUGCUCUUCUACCAGAGAUCCAGUAAAUCGACUAGCUUUUCUAUUCGGUUCGCGGCAUAUUACUGUUUGUUUAUUUUAAGUCCCAGGCGUAUCUUGUUUCGGAACCAGACCCAGCUGACCGCAACCUGGCAUCGUUUUCUCGUUUUAUUCUCUUGCGUUACGCGUCAACCUGGUGUCGGUGGCGCGAAUUAAGCGAGAAAAAUCGAUGCCGUGAAGCGGAUGCACGCAGUUUCCAGAACGAUCGGCUCGAUUUUUCUUUUUUCUUUUUUUUUUGGAAUUAAACAAACGUUCAACGUCCUCAAAUCUUCUCGAUCCAUUUACACGAGGCCAUCUUUGUCUUUUCAUGUGCAAGGUUGCAGAGAUUGUUUUUGUUCUACUGAAAAGUGAAGUUGCUGAGCGUGAAGCUGCUCGAAUUGGAAAGAAUCGGAGGAAUUUCUAUGGAUGUGUGCAACAGGUUGGGUUAAAAAUAAUUAAUCGAUGAAUAAUUGGAAUUAACGAGCGGAGAUGAUGAUCGAUGGUUUUGCAGAAACACGACACGACAAUAGAAUUUCAAAUGCAUCUGGACGCCUCACGUUGCUAGCCUUGCAUCGAAAUCCCCGAGCCACCCCCAACGCGAAGGAAAAAAGCGACGCUCGCGGAUAUCUUCCUAGCGAAAUAUUCGACGCGCAGAAUACAAUAUUCGAUAGAAAAAAAGGAUCGAACGUCUUUCAUAAUAAUCUCAGUGUGAACUCCAGAAGGGAAAGUAAAAGGGAAAAAAAGUAUAAAAGAAUCAUCGAACGUUGACAAACGUCGCAAAAUUAAGAAUCAAGAAAGAUCGCUCCUCCAACAUUUCCAACAAUCAAACGUGAUAACUCGUAAAUUUUACAGAUCCCAAAAACCUGAAACUGAAGUUUACCUGAAGUUACUGAAGCUGUUGGUAUCCCAGCAGGAUGCUGUUGUUCUUGUCAGACGCUGUUCAGAGUGCGAGGGAGAACCUGCCGCUAUCCACCACUGUAAACACCAGCACAUGCACUGAGGAGGUUCCAGCCCUCCGAGUAUAUAUCGAUAUCGAUAUCAAUUUGCAAAAUCGAAUGACGAACGCGGGAUCACCGGCGAUCGCGCACUGGAGGUAGCCCGCGGACGAGUUUGACGCCGACGCAUUUGACGGAGACCGUCGAUGCUAACCCCCUCCCCUCCGCCAGCUCCGUGGCAUGUGGAACUGUCAUAGAUCCCGGAAACGCUCGGCAGGGAAAGCGCGGAAGGGCGCGGAAAAAUUCGCGAAUGGAAGUGAAACGAAGAGUUGAAAGACAGGCGAGAAUGGGCGACGUUGGGAAGAGCCAUGAAAGUUCGCAACGAGCAUGGGACUCUGGACACGACUGAUCGAGUGACCGAGGGGGUAGCAUUGUAAGAAUACCCCUCCUCGUGCGCUUGUAUAGAAUUACGUGUGUUGAUCGCGCAUACAGCUCUCUCCGUCCCCUUGGUUCGCGGCAAAAGGGAGCACGAAGGGAGAAGAGUGGCUCUCCGUUCUCCCUUCCCCUCUGUUGCCUCUCCUACAGCCUUUCACCGUGCGUAUACCCACCCCUGCGUACCCCUGCCCCCCGGCCCCCCCUUCGAGGCGUCCUCUCUCGCGUGCGUGAAUCAUGCAUAUCGAUUUUCUUUCGUUAGUACGUCGUUCGGUAGUCGUUGCCCGGCUGUGUGUACGCCUCUGACGAUGCGUUUCCCCUCUUCUUUCGCGCGCGGCGAGAGAGAGAGCCUGGGGGCCGACUGCCGCUCUGGAACCCCUUCUGAAAAUGCGCUAGACGCGCCACCGCCGCCGAUUCUUUUCGCCACAAUGGAUAGAGGAGGUUCGUUUUUAGCGGCUUGGUGGCUGAACCCACGAUCUGGAUAUAGAAGUUCCGGGUUCGACGCUGGGGAAGGAUGUAGUUCUUAAUAGGGGGGGGGGUUAAGAGGUUCCUCCAACCUCGUCCGCGGGAAUAGUCUGUACCAAAAGUAGAAGGGACACUCGGAAAAAUUGGAAAUUCUUAGAGACAGUAGUGGCGAAGCUGUGAAAAAAAAGAGAGAGAGAGAAGCAAGCGUUGAGUGGAGAUUGAUCCAAGUCUAUUUUUAGAUAUUUAAGACUGUCGUCAUUGCAGAAAUUGAGAGGAAGAAUUUGAGGAAGAAAGCAAAGGAUGAAGAGGUCGAUGAAUGGAAAAAAAAUUUGUAGGGACUAAAAUGGCCCGGUCUGGCCUGACCCCCUUCCUCGGACGCUGAAAGCCCUUAGAGAGCCCCCCUUUUUUUUGCUCGAGCAAAAUGUCCCCGUAUGAGGCGAAACAACGAUGAGACGAUGCUCUUGUACCCGGUCCCCUCUCUUUUUUUUCUAAUAUACUCCCUCUAAUCGCGCAGCAGCAGGCCUUUGGUAAUAAAGUUUCUUUGUUUUUGCUCACUCCUUUCUCUCUUCUUGUCGCAAGUUCCCUCGCUAUUAUUAAUGACCACGGUCAAUCGAUUCGCAGUAAUUAACCAGUUUCAUUGUCGCCGGCUUUUGAAACACGAAUCCACUUAAUUUCUGUAAUUUCUUGGAAAAACUUGGAAACUUUCGGCUUUG
RNA transcript from Frieseomelitta varia, 3409 nucleotides. RefSeq lists it as uncharacterized. The record is from RefSeq and is a predicted model, not a curated record. Lineage: Eukaryota; Metazoa; Arthropoda; Insecta; Hymenoptera; Apidae. The transcript is spliced from 3 exons.